GACGAACGCUGGCGGCGUGCUUAACACAUGCAAGUCGAACGGAAAGGCCCUGCUAUUGUGGGGUGCUCGAGUGGCGAACGGGUGAGUAACACGUGAGUAACCUGCCCUUGACUUUGGGAUAACUUCAGGAAACUGGGGCUAAUACCGGAUAGGAGCUCCUGCUGCAUGGUGGGGGUUGGAAAGUUUCGGCGGUUGGGGAUGGACUCGCGGCUUAUCAGCUUGUUGGUGGGGUAGUGGCUUACCAAGGGUUUGACGGGUAGCCGACCUGGGAGGGUGACCGGGCACAUUGGGACUGAGGUACGGCCCAGACUCGUACGGGAGGCAGCGGUGGGGAAUAUUGCACAGUGGGCGGAAGUCUGAUACAGCAACGCCGCGGGCGGGAUGACGGCCUUCGGGUUGUAAACCGCUUUCGCCUGUGACGAAGCGGGAGUGACGGUAAUGGGUGAAGAAGCACCGGCUAACUACGUG
RNAcentral lists this ribosomal RNA (468 nucleotides) under uncultured bacterium. Its description in RNAcentral is "partial 16S ribosomal RNA". It matches the Rfam family "Bacterial small subunit ribosomal RNA", at positions 28 to 507 of the family's 1533-position model. The record is from RNAcentral.